AACAGUGAGCAUACCAAAUAGUGGGGAACACGUAGAAGAAUAGAAGAAUUAAAGCAAUUGUACCAUGAAGUGGAGCCGACUAUUUCGUCAAUGCUUAAAACGAGGUCACGAGAGCUUAUCAGGGACGACUUUAAAGAUUGUUGUUCAGAUAUAUGUGUACAUUCAAACGUUCCGAAAACACCCCGAUGAGUCACCUGAAGACUGCAAAGUUUAACGGCGUACCCUGCAUGAUAGAAAACGCUAGAUACCGUAUUUAUUCUCGGGCCAUCAGACACUGUUGUCACUAAACUACAGGACAUAUCCCGUUUCUCUAACUGACUGUAUCGUCUUGAAGAACUCACUGUGUUUAAGUUAUGCUGCUUAGUAGUUAUGAAGAGAAACGUUAGAGUAUGAAGUCGAGCACUAUAGGCAAACUACACAUAUAACAAAAAUUACUUUCAAGAGACAAAGGAAAUCAGCAAUUGCAACCAAAAUAAUUUUCUAGAGUAAAGGAAAACUACAAAUAUAUAGCCAUACAAACUUUCCAGUGACAAAUGAAAACAACAUAUUUAACGAAACUUUCUUUAGAGGAACAAGGGAAAAGACCAAUAUAACGAAACAAUCUUUACAUUUAGACCAAAAGAUGUCAUCGAGAGACAAAUGAAAACUACAAAUUUAAUUAAACUAUCUUUCGAUAAAUAAAGACAAAAUAAUAAUGGAAUUUUCUUUCGGUCUGCAGAUAAUACAUAAGAGAGAUCUCCUAUUAAGAAAAUAUAAAUGUUAUAAUGUUAUAACGUUGACUGAAAAUCCAAAAAUAAUGUUGUCGAAUGCAUCGAAAUUAUGAGCGGAAUCAAGUUUACACAAGCAAAUCUGAAUGAGCCGGAAUUCAAAUGAUCGUAACAAUAAGUGAACACGUCUCGUUAGCAACUUUAAAAUAAACACUUGUAACAAAAUUAUAUAGACUCCCUCAAAGAUUGCAUGUUGCAGCUAGUAAACAAGCAAAUUUAAUAGACGUUUUAAUAUUUAAGCUUAAUAAGGAUUGUGGAUAAAUGGCGCUUUUCGGCCACAUAUUUAAAUAUUAAUCAUAAAAACAUAUAUUUUGCAUGUUUUACUUAAGUGUUGCUAUUUGCAACAUGUUCUACCUCUUAAUAUUGGAUCAAAAGUGAAACAUAGUAUAACCUUCAAAACUUAUUUUGUGCCUCUAUAAUUUGUCUAAUUUUCAUUUAUUAAUUCCAUGGUUUAUCCUUUCAUUAUGCUAAUACAGUGUAUAACUUGAUUUAGAAACUGUUAUGUUAAAACUGUUAUACCAGUUCAUUAUUAAUGUCAAUAUAUUAAAGUUUGCAAUAAUAAACACACAUAGCUCAUGGAUUGCAUAGAACUAUAUUAAAUUAAGGUGGGUCGAAUAAUUUGUUUCUGCAAACACCUCAGUAAUUGUUUGGAUUUCGUUCCGCUAUUUCAUCAUGUAACACAGAAAGAAAGAUAGGUUUUUAAGUUAUAUUUAUUUACGUUUCUUAAACGAAUUGUGUCACUGAUUAUUAUUAUUUAAAUCCCACCUAUUACAAGGUAUGGAAUAUGUUUUGUGACUCUUAGAAAUAGAAUACACCUUACGCCUUUGCAGUUGCGUUGGCUGUACCGAACCUGUCAUUGCUGUUAGUGGGAAGUUCUUAUCAAACCUUGUAUACCUUGCGUGUAGAUAUUUCUUCAGAAAGCCCCCUCGCUAGAAUAUGUUUCCAAAAUAGGUUACAGUGUGCCUUUAAUGAUAUAUCAAUACAAACAUAGAACAGUAGUUUUGGUUUUGUCGAAAACCUUGCGGACGCCAUACAUACACACUAAUGCUAUGGAUAUUACAGAUGAAAAUAUAAAUCAGCCCAGUUAAUUUCUUGUGGACUGUCAAGAGAUUGACUUGUCAAUGCACAAGAAAUUCAACAUCGCUGAAUAAUCUUUCGUUUAUUAAAAUAUUUAUUAAAGUAUUGCGCAUUUAAAGAAUUUUAUUGAGAAUCACUCAACAUCACAAAACAACAAAACUUGCUACACAAGCAUCAACACAUAUACCAAUAAAUGCUGACGUUACAAACACAUUGAAGAACACAUUAAAGAAGGGGUUGUUCAAACACUAAAGAUACACCUACGCUUAUUCCAACGGCGUUCUUGAUCAGAAAAUGUUUUUGUCACACGUAGCUUGUCCUUAUUGUUCUAAAUCUGUUGCCCCUUGAAUCACAACACCAAUUCGGAGAAAUUCACGUGCAAUUCAAUAAGAAGUAUCUUUCUGUGUUUUUUUGCUACAUGAGGUUACACACCACCGUUGUCUUUCCGCAAAAGUUCACUGUGAAAUGAUCAUUUAUAGACAACUGUUUAAGCCAUUUAAAAGGCCUUAGUAUAAAACAUUUAAAACAUCCAUUACAUCUUUUGAAUAUUAUUCGUGUACAGUACAGGACUUAAGUUGCGCCACGUACAAAAGCGUUUACAUUCCGAUACAAAACUUUUUCUAUCACAGCCACAUUUUCGGGCUUCAAAAUUGAAGUUAUAUAAAUAUUUAAAGUACAGCUUUAAAUUAACCUUUAAGCCAAAAAACGGAGGGUUAAGUUAUUCCUAAGAGUUUGUUUACCACAUUUAAAAAAACAGACUCUCAAGAAUUGACAUUAUUCCAAGAUGACCUUUCAACUUAAAGGCUUUAAUCUCUACUCUAAACAGAUCCUCAAGGUAUCAAAAUUUUAGAAUUUAUGACUUUUGUUGAAUUACAGUGAUUGAGCAUGUCAAAACAUAUCGAUCAUUCAUAAAAACUGAGAGGUUUUACACAUAAGAAAUAUGACGAAACGGUGACGUCAUAAUAUAUAAGGGCUUCAAGUGGUUGGGGAGCAACCCAUACACUGAUGUACCGUAUCAUCGGGUCUAAACUAUCUUUCUUGUAUGUUCCCUCUUAGAACUGCACAAUCUUCUAUAUGACACUACCUGUUACAAACAACACACCGGUACACCAGACUCAGUAAAAGCAAAACAAUUUACAUUCCGGUCCUCUUGACCGAAUUAUACAUAGAAUUACAAAAAUAAAAAUUGCAAAAUCGUGAUUCAUUCAAGUUCACAAAGCAUAUUUGUUCCUUAAAAAGGGGAAUCAGCUUAUACACAGAAAUAAACCCAUUUCUCGUAGUUAACUUCCUUAUAAUUUUCAAUCAUCAACAUGUUAUCAUGUAAUGUAAUUUCUCUUCAAAGUAGAAAAACGUGUAUUAUUUUAUCAGAUACCAACUUCCAUUCCUUCAAUGAACUGCCUUUCGGCAAUUGCGGUUAUCAUCCGAUGAUAUCGCAAUUCAUUGCAUAACAAUAUACAUGAACAAUGUUGAUCUUGUUAUUGUUUGUUUUGUUUCAGCAAGUCCCGUAAGAAAAAAAUCAACAUUUUAGAAAGUGUUAAUUUAUGAUAUGUUAAAUGUUUUGUUGUUUGUGUUUCAAUUUUACGUUAAAAAGUCAUUUCUAGAGGUUGAUCUUUACCCGUGGUAUUGUGAUGUUAUUUGAUACAAUGUAUCCAGUUACAGUCGGGUCGUUCUAUUUACAGAAUGGGUGAGAAAGGAUAACUGUAAGGUUUCCAUAAAUAAAAUGUAACAUUUUUCAACCAUUCUUGAAUAAAAUAAUGAA
Molecule: long non-coding RNA, 3603 nt
Organism: Mya arenaria
Lineage: Eukaryota; Metazoa; Mollusca; Bivalvia; Myida; Myidae
Exons: 4
Source: RefSeq, a predicted model, not a curated record